Equus caballus (horse) is the source of this 7736-nucleotide long non-coding RNA. NCBI's taxonomy places the organism in Eukaryota, Metazoa, Chordata, Mammalia, Perissodactyla, Equidae. The record is from Ensembl.
AACAAGCCCUCCAGGUGGUUCCAAUGUUUGAUUCAGAAUGUUUGAUUCUCAGGCUUGAAAACCACUGCCCUCACUGCUCCUUCACAGCCUCCCUUAUAGCCAGCACUCUGUGUGGACAGCCUUCUAGGGAAGGUGUGAGGUCCCUGCUCCUGGACAGGGGAAGGGGUUCUGAGGCGUAGGACCCUCUGGCCAGGGAGGCCUCCUGUAAGGUCACUGGAACUGACCCUGUCGCAAUAAGAGCGAAUACUCUGUCUUCUCCAAACUCAGGGUUUCUCUUGGUGGUCAGAGGAGGCUGCUUGCUGCCUGCCGGGCCUCACCUGGGGGCUCCUGAUUAAAGCCCCAGCAGGACUUGGUUCUGUGACAGGGGCUUCCUGGGGCUCAGCUUGGCUAGAAUCUGCCUGGAGAAUGAGAGGGCCUAGAAGUUGCCCAGAAGCUUCUGGACUCAAAAGGCAAAAGGGAGUAUGUUGGUGGUCACCUAUUGCACCUGCCACUCAUGGCGGAGAAACGCCCUGCCUCCAAGCACAGCUCAACUCUGACCUCCGGGCCCCGGACCGAAGCCUUUGGCGGGAGGCUGAGCCAGCAUCUGUGGAGUUCGUCCUGUCCAGGUGUCCACCAGCCUGGCACGUGGUAUUUAGCUCCUCCCCCUCCCCCUUUUUUUUAACAGAAGAAGAAACUGAAGUUAAGGGGCGUUAAGCGACUCGCUGUAGAUGACAGCCAAGGAGAUAGAAGUGGGGGGAGGUCAAGGAGGAAGCGGCAGCUCCGGGAGGCUCAAUCCCCGCGGACCCUGGGGCCUGCGGAGCGGAGCUGUCAAGGGAGGGGCACCUGGUCCCUGCUCGCGCUGCCAGGUGGGGUCGGGGAGCGGAUGGAGAAUCGCUCCGGCAGGCAGGUUCGCUAGGCUGGUGUCGGGCGGCCAGGCUGCCCUCGGCCGGCCAGACCGCGUUUCCCUGAGCGGCCACCAGGUGGCGCCGCCCGACCGCGCGGGCCCGCUCUCCGGGGCCGGCAGGUGGUGCGUCCUCUGCUCGGCUCCCGGCCGCUCCACCUCCCCGGGCCUCCGAGGACCGGGCCUCUGGGAGCUGAUGUCUCCCGCCGUGGUCCUCCGGGAAGAGGAGCAUCAGACCACGCUCUUCCUCUGUGACUCUCUGAGAGGGGACCUCUGACUUCUGUCCUCGCCGCGGUCCCCGAGGAGGAGGCUCCUCGGACCUUCCUUCCCAGGGGUGGACACUCGGGAAGGGGCACCUCGGACCCACGUCCAUGGAGCAGCCCUCUCAAGAGGGCGCUUCGGACUCUUGUCCUCACCAUGGCCCUGCGAGAGGGGGCGCCUUGGACCACUGUCCCCUAUCCUUCAGUGCCUGAAAUGUUACCACUUGAGCCUCUUGACAGGUGGUGUCCUGUCAAUAACUCCCCCUUUCGCUCGCCUUCACCCUGGGCGCUGCCUUCUCCGAUCCAUCGGCCUCACUCCGAAGGGCAGGGCUUUUCGGCAGAGGGUCUGGAGCUUGCAAGAAAGACCUAGUAGCUUCUACAAUGUGCGUAUGCCCUGUCCCACCUGGGAUCUGCUGGGAUGGAGGCUCCGAAAGUGACACCCAAAUGGCUGUGUUGUUGGGACUGUGGGUUUGCUUUCUGUUUCUAAUGCUGCUGCCUGCUGGGUGAUUCUCACCGCGUGGGGUUGAGAACCAGGGACUAAAGGGAGAAUGCCCGAACAGGCAAGCUUUGACAGGAAGGGGCUUGGGGAGGCCCUAGGGACAGAGGGGCUGGGAGUCAGAUGACCUGGCCGAGUGCCAGUCCUGGCUCUGACCCUGCCCUGCUGAGUGACCCAGACAAGUGAGGGAUUGCUUCUGGGUCUCUCUGGAGAGGAGAGGGUUGGCCCAGGCAGCCCCUCUGGUCCUGCUGACCUCCAGGGCUUGAGCAGCUCCUGCUUUGAUGGGUGGGAAGCAGAGGUGACCUGAUCCCCUACAGCACUGGCCUGUGGGCUACCGGGUGCAUUGCUCUGACCUGGGCCUCAGCUUCGGAGGGUAACUGGCAAAGGGGAAGAAGGGAAAGAAACCAAUGUUUAGUGAGCAACUAGUAUGUGCCAGGCUCUCUGCCCACAUUACACCUUUAAACCUUUCUAGCUACAUCUGCAGGGUUCAUGGUGAUACACCCCCUGGCCCUAGCAUGGUGCUGGAGCAUAGUAGGUACUCAGUAAACAUCUGUUGGGUGAACAAAUCCCUGUGAUUGGUCUAUGGAGAAGAUAAAUGUUGGUGCUUGGGUCAUAGCUUUUGCCUCUGAAUGCUUGUGCCAGACCACUGGGGUGGGCCCUGCUCAGAACUGCUGGAACCUUCCCAAACACUGCCCCCUCCCCAAUUUGUGUGGGCCAGGCCAAACCCAGGAAGAUGGUGCUGGAAGCAAAGGAUCAGAGAUGUCCACUGACUCUGAUCAAGGCAGAGGUCCAGCCUUGCUUCCAUCAGGCGCUGAUCCCCUCCUGCCACCUCAGCCUCUGCACACACGGUGAAUAAGCUCAGGUUGGAGUCACAACGAACAAGAUCCACGCCCUGGUUUCUGCCAGGUGCUAGGACUGCCCCUGUCCAGAGAUGCCCAGACAGAAGGUGACUGACAGAAAGGGUCAAGAGCAAGGCAGUCCGAUGCCAGCUCAGAAACUUCCCCCGGAGCACCCCUCAAUGCCGUUCUGACCGGGAAGCCGCGUUGUGGCUAAGUGGUUAAGACUUUUGCCUGUGGAGACAGGCUGCCUGGCCAGCCUCGAGUCUUGGCAGUUUCUUUACCUAUCAAGUCAACACCAAAAUAGUACCACAAAAGGGUUGCCGUGAGGAACAAACAAGAGAAUCCGUGGGAAGUGCUUUAGACCCAUGCCCAGCUUUGUAAGCUCUUAAAGAAAUCCUCGCUGAACCCAUUCCCAUGAUUAGGAGGCAAACUGGCACUUUUCAGCUUUCUCCAGCACCCCCUCGUUGCCUGUGGUUGGGGGAAGGUGGUAGAUCGCGAGGUGAGAGGCUGGGACCUGGUGUGUUCAGCAUGAGCUUGCAGGACACUCUCAGCGAGCCACUGCUGAUGCUGGGGUGGUCCGGAUCUUGUGGAUCCAGGCAGUAUGGGCAGCUGGUGGGGCACCAGGUGACAUCCCAGCAUACACGGGAUGGGAGGCGUUCUUCCCCAGCUCCCUUCUUGGUACCCUGGGGUCCCUGGUAUUCUAUGUCCUUCUUUCCCAGCCUGCGCUUGUCACUUUCUUGGCUUCUGCAACACCACGCUUGCCUGAUGCUCUCCUUCUCUCAUUGUCUUUUCUGGGCCCUCCUCACUGUCUCGUGUACUUAGGGCUUACACCCUGGACCCUUCGUUUCUCUCCUGUCUCCACUCCCUCCCUUUGGCCUCAUCCACUCUGGUAGAUAUAAGCUCCAUCUCCAGUCCUAGCUGCACCCCAGAACUCCAGACCCACAACUGCUUCCCUAGCCCCUCAACUUGACAUGUCCAGGCUGGAGCUCUAAUCUCACCCUCUGGUCCUGCUCCGCCCCCUGCAGGGAGUGCAGCCCAGCCUUCCAGUUGUUCAGGCCAGAAGCCUGGGAUUGACUUGAGCUGUCUUGACUCGGUUUUCUUCUGUCUCCCACUCUGACCUGAGAGGCACAUGUACAGCUUUUCAGAAGCCCCCCAGUUUUGAGUGUACCUCCCAGAGAUUCUGAUGUGACUGUUUGCUGGUGGGGCCUGGCAUUUGUUUAUUUUAGAAGCUCCCAGGUGACUCAGGUUGCUUAUUCAUUCAUUCACUCAUUCACAAGCCUUUGUUCUGUGACCACUGUGUGCCAGGCACUAGAAGUCUAGCCCUUAAGGCGAGCACUUCUGAAGUAUAGGCACAUAGUGGGUACUCGUGUUUGCUGGGUGAAGGUGCAUCCGAUGGAGGUGGUGACCCUGACCCCUCUCCCCCUAACAGAGAACCAAUAAGAUGGCUGGGUGACAGAGGGGCUGUGCAAGUCCUCAGACUCCCCACCCACCAUAGCCCCUGUGUCCUCCCCCCACCCAGCUCCCUGGAAGCCAGGCGCACACCGCCAUGGCUGGCAGGGGGCUGUUCAGGGUCUGGCGGCCUGGGAAGCUCGGUUGUUGCCAUGGUGAUGAUGUGCGUCUGUUCAGCAGAGAACUUUGAAGUUGACUUGGAUGGGGGACAACAAAGGCGCCUCCAUCUUGGAUGCAAAUUGUGGCUUCCUUUCAUCCUCCUGGGCCCUUUCCUGCUCUGCUUUUGUUCUUGCCAUUUAGAUCAGAGAAUAAAACCCUUUCAAAUGUUGUAAAUUCAAAACAUAGGCAAUUAAGGGGCCUCUCAGAGGUUCAAGGCCCCCUUAGUCUCUUUAAGAAGCAGUUGCAUGUGUAGAAAAACAGAGAUGAUUGUGAAAAGGGAGUCAGCAUCUCCUGGAUGUUACAAUCCAACCAACAUCUACUGAGCGCCUACUGUGUGCCAGGACCCGGGAGGCACUGGGGAUCCGGUGUGGUACAGGACCCACCAAAUCUCUGUUCCUCAGAGCUUACUUUCAGGACCAUGGCUCCGUGCCUCAGUUUCCCCAGUGUACAACAAGGAGGCUGAAGUAGCCCAGGGGUUUUCAUAUGGUGUUUUCUGAAACCCAGGCGAAGGUCCCAGUCGCUUCCCCCCGUUUUGGCCUGAAGAGCUUUGCUUUGCUCUGUUUUAUGUACUCUGUUCCCUAUAAUAUUGUUUUUGAGGAAAGAAGUCCAAAACAAAAAAAAACCCCAAAAAACAAAGGAUGGGAUGGAAAUGAAAACCACUGGUCAAGGAUUCCCUAAGGCUUUUUCCAGAAGGAAUGUUCUCUCAUGUUCACCACUAAGGAAAGUGCAGAUUCCCCGGGCUGUUUGGCCACAUAGAGACUCACACACAGAAGGCAAGCUGCCUUUAGGAUGUACACCCACCUGGAUGGCUGACAUCCUGCCUUCAUUUUAAAUAAAGUAAGAAGCCUCAGACAGGGUUGGAAAGAGCAAAUCCUGUUACGUUUCUCACCCAGUAGACCCAGGGCUUCACUUCUAAGGCAUCUGUCCUUCUCAGACUCUGGACCCGCCCUCGCCCCUUCCUCAGGGAGCUUUGCCUGGCCGGCAGCCUGCAGGGCCCACGCCCUCCUCCGAGCUCCCCUGGCCCACCCUGGCCUCCACACACCCACCAGCGAGGACCUGGGGCCUGUCUUGUCUCCCCAGCGGGACCACGUGUUCUCACAGCGCGAUGUGUCCUGAAGAAAUGUAAUUCGAUGAGCAACUGGGCGCCCCGCUGGUACUGCUUGUUCUCUGGGCCCUGCCCCUCACCCUGUACCUUGCCUGGGUUGUCUCCUGAAGUGCAGGAGAGCCUGGUGGGCAGUGCGCAGAGCCACCUGCCUUCCCUCCCUCAGCAGCACCCUCCCCUCCUCCUUCCCAACAGGUGACUGAGAGACACCAGGCCUGAUUACAGCGGCGACAUGAGUCUUUCCCAAAAGCCAUUUAUACUGUCUGGGUGGGGAACCGGGAAGUAGGUCGGGGACCAUGUUUUAUUGACUAUCUCUUGUCUUGAGGAGCCACAGGAAAGCUUUAUUAACACAACCAGACAAUCUCAUUUAGGGCCAUUGCACGGCCUGGGCCCACUCGAGGUUCAAGCCGGUAUUUUACCCCGGGCUGAGUCUUCUCGUAUUGAUUUCUUUAGAAGGCAUGUUACCUUUCUCCCUGAAGGCCAAGCUGAUGCAAAGAGCAAAGAGAGAUUCUGGACUGGAGAACCACUUCUAUCAAAAAACCCUGAGCUUGGCGAAGUCGCCCCCCCUGUGUGGGGCUGUUGAAAUUGUGCUCUGUGCUUGAUCAUCGUGGGAUCCAUCCAGAGAUCAGAGGCUCCCAGGGGGCUGAGGCCGUGUCUCCCACUUCGCUCUGCACGGUUCCAGGCGCACAGUGGGCCUGCAGUAGAGACAGGAGUAGGGACUGUCUGCUGCCGGGCAUGUAGGACAGCAGCCUCUUGGCGUCAACAGCUUUGGGGAACCCCUUCCUUCUGGUGAUGUGGAGGUUAGUGUCUCCAGCAUCCCAGGGCUGCCACCCAGCCCCUCCCUCACCCUCUGGGGAACGUGAGCUGUGGGGAGCAGAGGGGAUGGAGCAUGUCAAGAUCUGCCACAGGCUGGUGAGUGGGGCACACAGUUUACAACCCACCUUCUCAUCCGGCUGCCACAGCCCAGGGAUAAGCCCCGGAAGUGGGAACUGCUACUGACACAUUUGGAGGAAAUGGCAUCUUUGCUUGUGAAUCUCAAUACAAGUGGUUUUCAUCCAGGGACACUUGGCCCCUGAGAAAUCCUCCAGCCACCAGCGAGAGGGAAGGUUUCCGUGGAGCACACACCCACACGGCCUUUUCACACAGCGUUUCCCUGAGGCUUUCGUAACUCCCCCACUCUAGAGGGGAGUGGUCCUCAUUCUCCAGAAGAGGGAGGAAGCCCUGCAGAAGGUGAUGACUGCCCACAGAUGGGCUUCCAGAAGGCGGACGGCCCGGGCGGGGCCCUAAGCAAGGCAGAUGGCGCCUGCCCCCCUAGGUGGUGGACAUCAGUCUCCCUGGCCUUCAGGGUGGCCCUCUGCCCGAGGAUCCUGUGGCAUGGCUUCCCUUGGCAGUGACUCCACGUCACUCAGGCCUGAGGCCUAACAGUUCCCCCUUCCCACUCCCCAUUCCAGUCCUCCUCGAGCCUGGGACUUUGUUCUGAGCCCUCUUCCUCCCUCCUUGCCUCCGACAAGCCCACACUGCCGCAUGUGCCCCGACAGGCGCAUUAACUUCCCAUCCCCCACUUGGGGCCUCCCACUCACCCCAGAAUACCGUAGCCAUGUGGACUUGGAUAUGGGAUUUCACCCCAUACCUGUGGUAUAUUGAUGAGCGCCCCGCCCCCACUGCACCUACCUCCCUGAGGGCAGGACAACUGGUUUGCUCAGCACUAUGUCCUCAGAGCCUAGCACAAGGCUAGGCACAUAGUGGGUGCUCAGUAAAAAUGAAUGAAUGAACAUCAGACAACACAAGAGCGGCCUUAAAUGUGUGGCCAGACUUCAGGCCACAGGAAGGCCUCCCAGAGGAGGCCACACCCCUGGUGUUAGGCUGGAAGGCUGAGCCAGGGUCUGGACCUGGGAGGACCCACUGCUCACCAAAGGAAGGACCCAGGGAUGUGAGACGGGAAGAGUCAGAACAGCCCUUGCCGGGUACCAGACUCUCUGCUAAGUUCCUUACAGCCUUUAUUCAUCGCAAACCAUCCACAGAAGGUGCUAUUACUAUCCCCAUUUUACUGGUGAGUAAACCAAGGGGCUGAGAGGCGAAGGGACUUGCCUGAGGUCAUAGAGGCAGUAAGUGGCAGAGCCAGAAAGUGAUCCAGGUCAGACAGUUUGUCUCCAGAGCUUCGCUCUAACUUGGCCAUGCAUCCAUCACAUGUAGGGCUCUUUCUUUGGGGGACCAUUGGCUUUGGCUGCAGGUCACACCGUGAAGGGGCUGAAGACCUGUUUCCUGAUGGUGGACCAUGAAUGUGCCUGUUAUUGCCAUGUCGUUAUUGUCUCCUUUCAGAAAUCAGGAAAAACACUCUUGCUGGCCACAAUUACAUGCGCCUUUGGGCCCUUGCCCAUCAGCUGUGUCCUGGGGACUGUCAGCCCCAUGUGGGCAGGGCCCUGGCCUGCCCCAUGCACUCUGCUACCCCCAGCAACACAAAGCUCCAUUCCGAAUACCGCAAAGACCAGUGGGGAUUGACAGCGAGUGAGGGGGUCAGUGGAUGGACACUCAGUAAGAGGAGAUAUCAAGA